RNAcentral lists this ribosomal RNA (442 nucleotides) under uncultured bacterium. Its description in RNAcentral is "partial 16S ribosomal RNA". It matches the Rfam family "Bacterial small subunit ribosomal RNA", at positions 338 to 795 of the family's 1533-position model. The record is from RNAcentral.
CCUACGGGUGGCAGCAGUAGGGAAUCUUUCACAAUGGGCGAAAGCCUGAUGGAGCAACGCCGCGUGCAGGAUGAAGGCCUUCGGGUUGUAAACUGCUUUUAUAAGCGAGAAAUAUGAUGGUAACUUAUGAAUAAGGAUCGGCUAACUACGUGCCAGCAGCCGCGGUCAUACGUAGGAUCCGAGCAUUAUCCGGAGUGACUGGGUGUAAAGAGUUGCGUAGGUGGCAUAAUAAGUAGCUAGUGAAAUCUGGUGGCUCAACCAUUCAGACUAUUAGCUAAACUGUUAAGCUCGAGACCGUUAGGGGUAACUGGAAUUUCUAGUGUAGGAGUGAAAUGCGUAGAUAUUAGAAGGAACACCAAUAGCGAAGGCAGGUUACUGGGACGGUUCUGACACUAAGGCACGAAAGCGUAGGGAGCAAACGGGAUUAGAUACCCCAGUAGUC